AGGUGCUGCAUGGCUGUCGUCAGCUCGUGUCGUGAGAUGUUGGGUUAAGUCCCGCAACGAGCGCAACCCUUGUCAUUAGUUGCUACGAAAGGGCACUCUAAUGAGACUGCCGGUGACAAACCGGAGGAAGGUGGGGAUGACGUCAAGUCCUCAUGGCCCUUAUGGGUAGGGCUUCACACGUCAUACAAUGGUACAUACAGAGCGCCGCCAACCCGCGAGGGGGAGCUAAUCGCAGAAAGUGUAUCGUAGUCCGGAUUGUAGUCUGCAACUCGACUACAUGAAGUUGGAAUCGCUAGUAAUCGCGGAUCAGCAUGUCGCGGUGAAUACGUUCCCGGGUCUUG
This 341-nucleotide ribosomal RNA is filed under the name uncultured bacterium. RNAcentral describes it as "bacterial SSU rRNA". It matches the Rfam family "Bacterial small subunit ribosomal RNA", at positions 1036 to 1383 of the family's 1533-position model. The record is from RNAcentral.